GACCAUUCCACGGUUUCCGUGACGCAGCUAACGCAUUAAGUUCCCCGCCUGGGGAGUACGGCCGCAAGGCUAAAACUCAAAGGAAUUGACGGGGACCCGCACAAGCGGCGGAGCAUGCGGAUUAAUUCGAUGCAACGCGAAGAACCUUACCAAGGCUUGACAUACACCAGAACGGGCCAGAAAUGGUCAACUCUUUGGACACUGGUGAACAGGUGGUGCAUGGUUGUCGUCAGCUCGUGUCGUGAGAUGUUGGGUUAAGUCCCGCAACGAGCGCAACCCUCGUUCUAUGUUGCCAGCACGUAAUGGUGGGAACUCAUGGGAUACUGCCGGGGUCAACUCGGAGGAAGGUGGGGAUGACGUCAAAUCAUCAUGCCCCUUAUGUCUUGGGCUUCACGCAUGCUACAAUGGCCGGUACAAAGGGCUGCAAUACCGUGAGGUGGAGCGAAUCCCAAAAAGCCGGUCCCAGUUCGGAUUGAGGUCUGCAACUCGACCUCAUGAAGUCGGAGUCGCUAGUAAUCGCAGAUCAGCAACGCUGCGGUGAAUACGUUCCCGGGUCUUGUACACACCGCCCGUCAAGUCAUGAAAGUCGGUAACACC
RNAcentral lists this ribosomal RNA (597 nucleotides) under Microbacterium sp. JL15(2011). Its description in RNAcentral is "bacterial SSU rRNA". It matches the Rfam family "Bacterial small subunit ribosomal RNA", at positions 827 to 1421 of the family's 1533-position model. The record is from RNAcentral. Lineage: Bacteria; Bacillati; Actinomycetota; Actinomycetes; Micrococcales; Microbacteriaceae.